RNAcentral lists this ribosomal RNA (253 nucleotides) under uncultured bacterium. Its description in RNAcentral is "partial 16S ribosomal RNA". It matches the Rfam family "Bacterial small subunit ribosomal RNA", at positions 524 to 776 of the family's 1533-position model. The record is from RNAcentral.
UACGUAGGGUGCAAGCGUUAAUCGGAAUUACUGGGCGUAAAGCGUGCGCAGGCGGUUAUGUAAGACAGGUGUGAAAUCCCCGGGCUUAACCUGGGAACUGCAUUCGAGACUGCAUGGCUAGGGUGCGGAAGAGGGAAGCGGAAUUUCCGGUGUAGCGGUGAAAUGCGUAGAUAUCGGAAGGAACACCAGUGGCGAAAGCGGCUUCCUGGUCCAGCACCGACAUUCAGGCACGAAAGCGUGGGGAGCAAACGGG